This 26-nucleotide non-coding RNA is filed under the name Drosophila melanogaster (fruit fly). Lineage: Eukaryota; Metazoa; Arthropoda; Insecta; Diptera; Drosophilidae. The record is from RNAcentral. RNAcentral also lists the same sequence under 7 other names.
UCUGGACUCUGAAUCCAGCGAUCCGA